AGCAUCCUACUUGUUUUCUGUGCAUUUAUUUGUUUGGGCUUGCAUGUUGACCGGCUUUUGAAUCUCAGUAACGUUAGAAAAUUAAGAAAAAAGGAAAAAAAAAGAGAAAAAUAGCAGUUGGAGAGUUAAUUGAUUGUUUUAGAAAAACCGAUGUCCAAGUACUGUCGGAACUCUGCCGAAAUUUUGAGACAGUGUAAAAAUGUUUUAUUUUAAAUAGUUGUUUUAUUCAAAAAGAGUCCGUCAUUUUAGUUUGUCUUGUUUGCAAAAAUGGAAAAUGAAAAAUAGUUUGCUUUGUCAUGAGAAAAGAAAAAAAAAGAGUCUUUAUUUUUGGUCUUCUUGUUUCAAAAUAGUUUAUUUACCAAUGGAAAAAUAGGGUAUUUUAUUGAAAAAGAAAAAAAAAGAGUCUUUCUUUUUGGUUGGGAAAAAUAGGUUGUUUGUUGAAAAUGAGAAGAAAAAAAUCGUCAUUUUGUCUUGUUUUCAAAAUAGAAAAGGAAAAAUAGUUUGUUUUGUCAUGAAAUAUGAGAAGGGAAAAGGAGUCUUUUAUUUUAGUCUUGUUUUCGAAAAUGAAAAAGAGAAAAAUAGUUUGUUCUGCCAUAGAAAAUGAAAAAAAAAAGAAAAAAAGAAAAAAAGUCUUUUAUUUUUUAGGCUAUUUUAUCGUUUGAUGAAAAACAAAGAAAAAGAGUCUUGUUUUUAAAAGUAGUUUUUUUUUUUUUUGCUUAUGAAAUGCCAAAAAAAAAAUAUAUCUUAUUUUAAAAUAGUUCGGUUAAUCUGCCCGAACUACGCAUGGUUUGAUUCUCACAAGGCGUGAGAUACAUAGGCAACCCUCAUCGGGUCCAACCUCCCCUUUACAAAAUAGCCCAAAAAAUAUCAAAAUUUUAAUUUAUGUCAUAAAUAAACCAGGAGAUGCCGUUUAUGUCAAAAAUAGCCAAAUGUUCCCAAACGGAACGUCGGAAGGCUGACUUUGCAUAAACAGCUACCUUUGGUCAUAUUUUAAUUUUUGACCCUCACAACCUUAAAUCUUUGUCCGCGAGGCACUGAAAGGCCGUGUUUGCAAUACCGGAUCAUUUAUUUUAAUUUGAAAAAAUAAGAAGAGUCAGUGGCCAAGUGGAUACCGUUCUUAUUUUGGGUUAAAAUUGGCAUAUAGGGAAAGGAAUCUGUCGGUGGUUUUUAAGUUUGUAUUUCUUUUGAUUAGAGUAUGUGGGUCGUUUGUUUUUGAGUCUGUCAGAAGCUGAUAGUUUAAGUUUGUCGGUUUUUAAACAUUUGUAGUCAGAGUUAGUUUUAUUAUGAAAAAUUGAAAAAUCCAAAAAAUAUUUUAUUGUUGUUAUCUUCUAUCUGCACGAACUACGCCUGGUCUGAUUCGUGCGGGGUCACGAUAUGUAGGCAAUCCACAUAGGAUUCGACCACAACCAAAAAAAUAAAAGAGAAAAGUAAAGUAAAAGAAAAAAUGAAAAAUAGAAAAGAGAAAUUGAAAAAUGUGAAAACAUGUUGUUAAUAUUGAGGGUCGACUCAAUCCAUUCUAACAUGUUUUGUUUUGAAUUGUGUAGAAAGUUGAGGUGGUUGCUUUGUCGUAACUCAUCCAUAAGACACAAGGUCGAAAAGCAAGGUAGUCAUGGCUGGCAAAGGGUUGAACACAGGUAUUGCUGAUCCGUCUAGAGGAAUUGUUGAAUCAGAAUUUGAGUUGAAAGAAGAGGUUUUGAGGUUGAAAACACAGAUAGUCGGAAUGCACAAAGCUUGGGCCAGUGGGUAUCCUCCGACAUCAGUCCCUGAUGCCCAACAUUAUCAUUCUCUUCAUUUUGAAUCUACCAGUGAGACUACGAAGCUUGCUAAAAUAGUGGAGCGGAAUGAGAUAUCCAAAAAACUGGAAGGGCUUAAGACGCUGAAGUUUAAUUUGUAUGAUGGGCGGGGAGAUCCGGUUGACCAUUUGAGGGAUUAUUGCAAUUAAACGAGGAAUGGCGGCAAGGAAGAUGAGUUGUUGAUGUCGCAUUUCAGUGAGAGCCUGACUGGUGCAGCCUUGGAAUGGCAUGAUCAUCAAGAUAUUGGGAAGUUGCACACGCUGGGCGACAUGACUCAAGAUUUUUUGCGACAUUUUCAGUACAACAAAGACAGUGUCCCAAUCAAGUCCUCCCCAUCUCAGAUGAAAAAGAAACCCAAAGAAAGUUUCAGGGAAUUUUGGGUCAGAUGGAACGAACAAGUUUCUCAAUAUGCUCCUUCCAUUGAUAAAAAAGAUAUUGUUGAGCCACGCCAACGAGAGAUCCCAAUGGUCAUUCCUGCCAAGCGUCUUCGGCCUCAACUCUAAUCCCAAACAUGUCCCCGAGCCUCACCUAGGAUACCUCAGUAUUAUUCUCCAAACAAUGGCCGGUCAGGUGUCCAAACACUAGGUCACUCCCAUUGCCAACGACAGCGGACGGUGGUCGUUCUUGGUAAAUGCUUUCAGCCUCCAUACCGACCCGAUGAACGUCCCCAAACUCCACAUAAGCCACCAGGCAUUCCUUCCAUUGGCGACAGGGUGCAGUGACCGUUCUUGCUAAGCCCCACGGAUAUCCUAGUACACCAAGUGUCCCGCCCCGAUGCUACGUCCCUGGAUCAAGUUUCGAGCAAAUCAGGCAUUUAGUAAUGAGAGGUUGCAGAAAAAGAAAGUCUAAACUCCCUUGGGAGAGUCAUACGCCAAUCUGUUCCAGAGACUAAAGAGUUAGGGCGUGUUGAAGCCUAUUCAGAUAAAAAUACUAGGCCCUCUUUCAAAGAAGUUGGAUUUUCCCCAAAGAUGCGCAUAUUGCUCAAAUGCCCCCGGACAUGACACAGAAAAAUGUUGGAGGCUAAAGAAAGUAAUUCAGGAGCUUAUGGAUGCAGGCGACAUCAUCGUGCCAAAUUUAGAUGCAACUAACACCAGCCAAAGUCCACCGCCUGUGUAAAAUGAGACGCACAUGGCGGAUAUGAUUUCCUUGGAAAUGUUAUUUGAAGGCCCCAGUAUUAUUGAUGCAAAACUCAGUGGCUAAGAUGCCGAGCUUGGUAAUUGGAAAGACACUUCAUCUCUUGGCCAGCUGGAGAGAAGUCUUGGUGGUUUAUUUUGUUGUCAUUUCUGUUUUCCGGGUUAUUUUCAGGGUUGUAAUCCGGAUAUUGUCUUGUGAUUCAAACCCUUCUAUCCUUUUAUAUGUUUAGUUCCUUUAGUCGUCAUAUUUUAUGUAGUGUUAUCUAGGUUUAUUUUAGUAUUGUACCCUAGUUGUGUUUCUUGUUUUGUUGUUAAACCCUUCCAUCGUCUGUUUAAUAUAAUUCUCUGUUUAUUGCCAUUUCUAGUCAUUUUUGUUUAGUUGUCUUUUCUUUCUACAAUUCUUUUCCUGCUGGUUCUAGUGACAUGACAUGCACACAUAAUUCUCAGUCGGAUUUUUAAAGCCAUGUUGGUCGGGAAGCAAUGAAACCAUUUUGAAGACGAUGAGGGCACUUGAGGAAAUAAGAACUGAUUUGGACGUUUUGAGAUUGUUUGAUGCUUGAACCAUGAGAAACUGGGUCAAUUAGAUUCUGAAGAUGAUGAGGGUAUUUGAGGAAAUAAGAAUAGAUUUGAAUGUUGUGAGAUUGUUUGACGCCCGAACCAUGUGAAACUGGGGCAAGCAAAAUAUAAAAAAUCCCCGCAAAAGAAAGUUGGCCAAAUUGACAGGGGGACGAUCGGGGUAAUAAGAGUAAGAGUGUGGCCCAAUGGCACAUUAAAUCAGACGGAUGUAGAAAGAAGGUGUUGGAAAUGGCCGUCAAUUCCGAUGCAGUCAAACGAUACUGUGUAUGGUUUCUGUAUUUUGAUUGUACCUGUUUGUACUUGGCAUAUUUUGAGGGUUGAAAUGACGAAGGCGUUUUGUUCUGCUAUUCAAAUACUUUUUCCAUUGUCACCCUUUUUGAGCCAUUUUUAUUUUCUUUCAUGCCCCUCUUUCGGAAUUAAUGGAACAAUCAAAGAAAUGCAAGUGCCGGAGAUAAGCAAAUGGAAAAAGAUGGAAAAAGAAAAGGAAAGAAAGGAAAAAGAAGACGGAAAAGAAGAGAAAAGGGAAAAAAGAGGGAAAAAAGGAAAAAGAAAGAAAGGAAAAGAAAAAAAGAAAAGAAAAGAAAAGAAAAGAGAAGAAAAGAUAGAAAAAGAAAAGAAAAAAAAGAAAGAAAAACAGAAAGAAAAGAAGAGAAAGAAAAUCACGACAACAUAGUUUCUAUGACGUGAACUACGUUUGACUUGAUCCCCAAAGGGUAUGGAGGCAGGCUUUCUGAGGUUCAGUCAUACCAAAAUAAAAUUCCGAAAGUCCCCAAGCAAGAAACUGGGUUAGAAGUUUUGAUUGUGGAGAGACAUCGGAUUUUGAAAGUUCUAGUCUUAACCCCAUUUUGAAUUGAUUUGAGACUUUAUAUCAUUUCUUUCUAACCCUAUCCAAAAGCCCAAAUUUCAGUCCAAAGGAAGACCUUCCGAUCAAUCUUUGAGAAAUGCCAAGUCAAGAAGGAAAGAUAAUUCAUGUAAGGGCCAACACUCCAGUCCAAACAAGGUGAUGAAAGCUGAGAGAAAUAAAAAAAAUGAGAGUCAUAUUGGCGAAAACCUUCACGGGCACCUUGAGGCGAUGGUAAGUCGAGAGAAAGAAAAAAUGAGAGAGAUUUGUUGGUGAAAACCCUUCGGGCACUACAAGUCGAAUAAGGAAUGUAAAUCGGAUUAGAUAAAUGGAGCACCGAAGCCCUGUCUCACGACGAAAGAUACAACAAGAGAUGAACAUCGGGUUUGAUUGGCAGAAUAUCCACAUGUGCAUGUCAUGGUCGUUAGAGUUGGUAUCCAUAUUUUAUAGGUUUCUACUUCGUAGUGUCUUCUUUAGUGAUCAUUUCUUUACUAUGUCUUUCAGUUCGUUCUUCUGUUUUAUUCACUUCCUCUUUCUGAGUCUGUUUGAUCGUAACAAGUGAGAAAUGACUUUAAAUUUUCCACCAGCUUUCCAAUUGGAGAAAACAACAAGAUUAAGGGUAAUAAAUCAACACGCUUGGGGGAUCAUAUGAAACACAAAGUUUGGUAGAUAAGUUCAGGAGUAAUGCAACAGAUGGAUGGUAUUGGGUUUGAACAAAGAAUAGAUAUUUUCUGUGACAAGGGUCAAGCGAAUGAGCAAUAGACUUUAUGGUCAAGGGGAUAGGGGUUGUGAUUUAAGAAGAAACAACAUACUGUGGGGGCAGUAGAUGCAAUUUGGGAAUUCAUGUAAGACUCAAAGGUCAGGAAAAUGCCAGUUCAUGAGCGAUGUGAGAAACAGAAGAUAUAGGGUUUGAAUGCAGAAAAGGUAUGGAUUCAGAUAAGAAGAUUAGAAGUAAUAAUUGAGAGGUGUUCGUCAAGAAGGGCGUAAGUUAUCCGCCAAGUUUCAAAGAUGGUCGUACAAUGCCGAGCAUGGAAAGGAGAAAAGAAAGGCCAUCCCCAACGGAAGUACCACAACCAACCACCACAAUUUAAAAUGACAAAAUUUUCUUUGAUUUGAAAUAGAGGCAUAGAAAUGUUAUUGAUGGCAAAAAGAUAUGCUGGGGCAGAAAAUUUUCUACCGUUUUGAAAAUUGUUUUUGAAGUCGGGCACCAUUCGAAGAACAUGAAGGUCAAAUACAAGUUUGUUAAAAGAAGAAGAGGGAAGUAGUGUUCGGGAAAAAAAUACCAGUUUUAAGGAAAGUAAUUUC
RNAcentral lists this long non-coding RNA (5648 nucleotides) under Nicotiana benthamiana. RNAcentral's name for it is "long non-coding RNA (NBEN_LNC029101)". The record is from RNAcentral. Lineage: Eukaryota; Viridiplantae; Streptophyta; Magnoliopsida; Solanales; Solanaceae.